UUUCACUGGUGGAGGUAUGGAUGAGUACAUAUUCAUCUUCAUGUAUUCACUUUUGCUUUUUUAGAAGCUGUUCUAUGUUGUCUUUGCAUUACUCCUCAGCCAUCAUAAACCCUGCCUAAGCAAAGAUGUGGAUUCUUAGUGCAGAACAAAAAAAAAAAAGAUGCAUCAGAGCACAAGUACAAAGUAGUGAAAAGAAAACUAACUGUUCUCUCCCACCUGGCCAUCUUUAUCCAUCAUAAAGAUACAAAACUAGAGCACAAAUCCUAUUUAUAUUCCCUUUGAAGGUCACUUCUGGCUUGCUUUACAGAGGCCAGACUUGUGCCUUUGCUACCCCAAAAGCUAUUUGCUUUGAAAUAAGAGAUCUGUUUUCUCUAAGUUGCAGAUAAUAAUCUCCCUCCUGGCUCUGCCCAGUUGACUUUGGCCUGUUUAUUCCACCAGAAGGAGUGUGUGAUUGCAGGGCAGGACGAGGGGCUGCCUGGUGUCCUGAAGCAGUGGGGUUGUGCAUCUCAGGAAGGCUGAGGCGUUUCCAUCCAGCUCUGUCACAGCCCUCAGGGGUUGGUGCAGGCAUCUCCCAGCUCCAGGUGAGACUUCCCACCUGAGGUUUCUCCCAUCCUUGCACGAGCAUGUUAGGACAUGGAAUCCUGGACAUGUCAGCUGCUCCUUGGAAAACAGCUGAUUAAUGGUUAGAGCUGUUAGUGCCAAAAUAAAACUAUUUGGCUGCCUAAAAUGGGGCAGCCUUCAAGUUGCUGCUGGGCUGCACAGCUCCUGAGACUGCUGCUCCCAGUCCUUGGCACUGGGAGGUGGAUGCACACAGGUACUCCCAGCACAUGGUGCUUUCCCAAAAGCUGAAGCAGAGGCAGCGGGGGGCUGUGCCUUGGAAGGGCAGAACGGAGACCCGGGACCUGGGAGGAACUGCAGCUUUGAGCAGGCUGAGCAUUCAGAGAGGAGGAGGAGGCUGAUCCUCAGCCCCCGAGUGUCGGGAACAAGCGGUGCUCUGUGCCUGGCGUGAGGCUUUGCAGUGCCAACCAAAUCGCUAGAGAAGAGUAGCACAGAAUGAACAAAAACAAUUGAAUGCCACAGUCUGGAGACGGCAGGUGCAGUGAAACCACUUCAAGCUGCUCACACAAGAAGAUUUUACAAGUGAGCCUUUAAAGAAUAAUGGGGAAAAAAAUAAGUGGCAUAAUUAAUAUAUCAGCUGCAGUGGAAAUGUCUCAAAACAAGUAACAUUUUAAAAAGAGAGCUCUGCUUUUUAUGUGAACUUAAAUCAACACUUGUCCUGCCUAAAAUUCUUCUAUGCUGGCUGCAGGGAGGGCUUGGAUAGAAGUGUAUUUUCUAAUGUUGCAGAGCAAUGCCAUCUAGGGCAUAGAGCUUUACAGUUACCAACAGGAGUGCUAUCCAUCCUUAGUGACAGACCUUCCUGGGCUGAAUAUUAAUAACUGGUUAAUCACCUCUGCAUUAGGCCUGUUGGGACGUGCUCAUUUUCAAUAUCUGCUUCCAGUUUUCUGAACUAUGCUCCUGUCAGUUUUUAAUGGAUAGUUUUGUCUCAACUGGAACAUAGUGAGUUUCUGUAUAUACCUUAGUUCCUCCUGAAAUCCUCCUGUUAGCUUUCAUCUGUGCAGCACAGCAGGCAUUAUCAGUGGUCUCUCUAAUCUUCAGCUACUGGAAGAAUCCACCCUGGCUGUGAUUAGAGCCACGAUACAUUUAGGCAGUAGAUUGAAAUGCUAAACCUAACAGGCCAGAUCUCGUCAUCCUUAUUCAAAAGCUACUUAGUGUGUUACUGAGGUUCUCUUGUUGAAACCAAGCUGCCUGUAGAACACUGGUCUGCAUUAACUGAAAACAUCUCAAGAACCUGGCCCAGCUGCAGCUCUGUCCUCGCUCCUGGCUGACACAGCUCUCUCCAGGCUGAAGUGCCAAAUACGAGCGUAAAGAUGAAAGGAGGACUCACAGUCAUUACUUUCCUGCAAGUUAAGACGGUUGUGCAAGAAGGACUGGGAAUGCCAGCCUGUGUGUUUUGGAAGGUGAUGGGAGCAUGCUCUCGUGUGCCAGGACCCCAUCCACCACAGAGAAGGCAGGGGCUGGUUUAUUUGGUACCUGAUACUUCCAAGUGCUUUAAAACUGAUGUCCAGACUUGGAUCAACUCAAGUUGCUGUGCUUCAGUGCUGGGUCUGAGAUGGCACCAGUGAUGCUGAAUGCAGGUGGGCUGAGGAAGCAGUUAGCCAAACACAGGCCCUACCCCCAUUCUCUCCUACCCACAGAGUGUCACAUAAAAAAAGAUGUGGGUUCAGUGUUGGGAUCAGAACAUGGCUGUGAUCCUUCCCAAGUUCCUGAGGAUUACUCACAGCUAGUGUCUGGCAGUCAUUGUCUCCCUGGACCGAGGUCUCAUCACUACUCUCAUGUUACUUUGGCUCAGGCUGUAGAGAAUGGAAUAGCUUUUGGCAGAUACAGAGGUGGAAUGAGCUCUAAUUGGCAGCUGGAGGCUUGUUCUUACACCUCCCCUUCUUGCUCCCUGAUCCAGUGAGGCUGCUGGUGAGGAGGUGGAUCAGAUGCCAUGGCCCUCACAUCUUACACAGUGCUCAGAGAGGGCAGGAUGUGUGUGGUGUCUUUGCAUUACUAGGUCUGCACUCUGCAAGGGCUUUCUGAGAAACUUGGGGUUCUGGUCCACACACUCUCUGGGAGCUGAGAUGUCAAAGUGCUCACACAUCCCUGUAUGGAGACAUAUUUUAUUUAGUAAUUGCUUUCAAAAAAAUACUUGAAAAUUAAAGAAAGGGAAGGUAAAAAGUAAGCGCUGCUGAGCUGGAAAUGCAGCUUUUCCACUUAGUCAUUUCCUGGCUGUCAGGAAGA
Molecule: long non-coding RNA, 2841 nt
Organism: Chiroxiphia lanceolata (lance-tailed manakin)
Lineage: Eukaryota; Metazoa; Chordata; Aves; Passeriformes; Pipridae
Exons: 3
Source: RefSeq, a predicted model, not a curated record